This 2537-nucleotide long non-coding RNA is filed under the name Homo sapiens (human). Its description in RNAcentral is "HSALNT0320649". The record is from RNAcentral. Lineage: Eukaryota; Metazoa; Chordata; Mammalia; Primates; Hominidae.
UGUCUUUAUUAGCAGCAUGAGAACAGACUAAUACACCAAGCUUUGUUUAAAUACUUCUAACAACGAGAAUUGCUACUUUUUGGAGUGGUCCAUGCCAUCUGCCAGAUAGUUUCAGCAGUUGUGGUAUUAGAAUUGCUCUUCAAAAAGGCUUCCUGAAGACCACAGUAGGAGCUAUCAAGAAGUUUCUGUGUUCUGGCUGCCACAUGGGGCCACAUGGUCUCAGGAAUUAAAAUCCUACUGUCCUCGUCUUCAUGGGAGUAAACAGGGCUGGACCCAUACAAGGGGUGUAGGUUGAAAACUGAAAGCUUAGGAAUGAACAUCAGAUUUCACAUGUGCAUUCAAAAUGAAUUAAUCAAUGUGGUGCUGAUAAGACAAAAGAUAGCCCCAUUAAGGAGAUUAAAUUAUAAUUAACAAAAGAUACACUGUUAUCUAAUUAAGUGCAAUGAAUCACACUGAACAAGGGAUUGUUAUCAGUACAAGAGGGCUAGUAAUUGGAGUAAGGUUUUAAGAAGCAGCACAAAAGAAACAGAGUAUCUCCAAUGAGUUCCAGAAAGGGAACUUGACUGGCCCAGAGUCCUAGUCCUUAACAGUGGAGGGGAAAGGAAGGCAUUCACAUUCAUCUCCUUGAAUCUGCCUAACAUCCCUGCAAAGUAAGCCUUCUUUCAUAGAGGAAGACACUGAGGUUCAAAGAGGUUUCGCUGCUGGUGCAGAGUAAAGCCAGGACUCAAACCCAGGCCUAUCAAAUCCCAACACCUGAAGCCAUCCAGCUCUCACGGGUGAAUGACUUCAAGGAGCACUACUCACCAGGAUCAUCUAACUCCCUGGAUCUUGACAGCAUAUUCUCUAUGGAAAUUUCUAAUAUAGCUUUGAUUCCCCAAAGAGGUUUCAUACAAAGAAAAUGAGAGAUUAUGGUUCACCCAGUAGUUCUGUAACAUUUCCUAUAAAGUAUCAGCAAUAAUAAUUCAAGUAGUUAUAGUAAUGGGAGUAACUGCCAACAUUUACUGAGCACUUACUAUGACAAACACUUCUCUUUUCUAUCUAUAAUCACUCCUUUGUGAUCUUACCUAAUUCCAUGACUUUAAAUACCAUUUAUACUAAUGAUCCCCAAAUCCUUACCUUUAGCUUGGACCUUUUCCAAAUGCCUACCCAAUAUCCCCACUUGCAUGUCUAUUCAGUAUCUCAAACUAAACACAUCUGAAACCAAACUCUUGAUUCCAUCCCUUAAUCCUCCUCCUCCCCCUACAUCUCCACAUCACAGUAAAUGACAGAACCAUCCUUCCAGAUGCUCAGGCCAAAAACCUUAGAGUCAUCUUUGACUCCUCUUUCUCUCAAACUCCACAUCCAACCAAUCCAUCAGCAAAUCCCAUCAGCUCUACCUUCAAAAUAUAUUCAGAUCCAAUCACUUCUCACCACUGCCACCACCAAGCACUCAAAAUUUACUCAACUUACUGAUAAUGUCAUUUUAAUCUUCAUAAUAACCCUGUGAAAUUGGUGCUACUACUUCCUCCAUUUUUCAGAGGCACAUAAAGGUUAAGUACAAAUUAACAAACUGAGAUUAUAGUUUACCAAUCAGGUCUUUCUUUUUGAGUUUAUAGAGUCAGAUGCCUGGAAUCUCCCCAGUAUCAGAUCGGGGGUAAAGAUCCCACUCUUUACCCCCAUCAAAGGGAUCUAAUUACCUUCCUGAACUUACAACGACUUGGACCCAUACAAGACCAGUCCAGAGAGAGCUGGAGUUCCCUGAGGAACCUGAGGGUGACAGCUGGGUCUUAAGGACUCUGGAUCCCUACCAUAUCCUGGAACAUGACAGACAAAGAAUAAAGAAGGAAUCCGCUAAGUUGCAAGCUGAGGUGCAGACAAGUGCUGGUUCACAGUGACAUCCUAGAAGGAAUGCUCUGGAUAAGAGCUUCAAGCUUCUGUGGUUUUCUGAGGAAAGUGAACGGAAUCUAGACGUGUCCUAUAGCUCAAAAAAUCAGCGCUAUGGACCACAGCGCCUAACAGAGUAAAAUAAUACACUGUGCAGUUUGGCCACUAACAGCAAGAGUGGGAAGGGGCGAAGAGGAACCUUGAUUGCCCGACACCAGGGCCACCUGAAAAGUCAUCUUGACACUUCAGUCUUUCCAUUUUGAGAUCGGAAGCUUUAAGGACCAUUAAAUCGCUGCCGCUGCCACACCAGGCCCGACGGAGCAGAAAGGCUGCGCUCACCUGCGGAAGCGACCGGGUGCACACCUGCCGGGUGGCGAGGCCCGCACCGUCACACCCCGCCCCGGCUUACCUGCCCUUCGGUGAUUUUUAGCGUCAACUUCCAUCCCUUCCCACCCAUCUGGAUCCAACCAAGCGCAAGGGCGGGGGAGGGAGAAGCUAGUGUCGCGAGGAAAAGCAUCCCCGCAACCCACCGCAGGCUUUCUCUCCUUCCUCCCCAUUCCACACAAGAGGCAGCCACACCGCCUCUCCUAACCCUCGUCUCCAAUGCAAGGCCUGAAAUACUUAGAAAAAAUAAUAACUGUUUUUAAGGAAAAGUAACAUCCCCGCUCCCUUCC